Molecule: transfer RNA, 95 nt
Filed under: Prosthecobacter sp.
Lineage: Bacteria; Pseudomonadati; Verrucomicrobiota; Verrucomicrobiia; Verrucomicrobiales; Verrucomicrobiaceae
Description: tRNA-Ser
Source: RNAcentral
CUUCCGCGUCCUCAAGCUGGAUGGUGAGGUCGGCGUUGGAGUCGCCGGCGGCGGCCUGUCGCAGGUUCAUGUAGGUCCGCCUCCUGGUCGGGGGC